This 116-nucleotide ribosomal RNA is filed under the name Selenomonadaceae bacterium. Lineage: Bacteria; Bacillati; Bacillota; Negativicutes; Selenomonadales; Selenomonadaceae. The record is from RNAcentral.
UCCGGUGAUGAUGCCUUGAUGGAGCACCUGUUCCCAUACCGAACACAGUAGUUAAGCAUCAAGAGGCCGAAAGUACUUGAUUGGCGACGAGCUGGGAGGAUAGGUAAUCGCCGGUU